GGAAACCUGUUCGGGACUCCUUCCUCUGCACAGGGAAGGUCUCUUCUUUCUUUUGCCUGCUAAACUUCCGCUCUUGAACCCACUCCUUUUGUGUCCCCAUCCUCGAUUUCCUUGGCGUGGGGCAACAAACCACACGUAUUACCCCAGACAACCAUGCUGCUUCAAUCUCACAGGUUGAGAGCUCAUUCCCACAAGACUGCCCCCUUAUUUCCGAUGCCAAUUGCAAGCCCCAGGUUUUACCUGUUAUGACUGAAUGACUAUAAAUUGAGGGUCCCAUGGCCCCCUCCUUGUGUUCAACUGAUUUGCUAGAUUGCCUAACAGAACUAGAGGAAACACUAACUUAUGUUUACCGGUUUAUUAUGAAGGCUAUUACAAAGGAUACAGAUGAAGAGAUACAUAGGAUAAGGUAUGUGAGAAGGACUGCAGAGAUUCUAUGCCCUUCCCAGCAGCCUCUGCAUGUUCAGCUAUCAGGAAGCUCUCUACUAAAAAUAGAAAAAUUAGUUGGGCGUGGUGGCAGGCGCCUGUAAUCCCAGCUAUUCAGCAGGCUGAGGCAGGAGAAUUGCUUGAACCUGGGAGGUGAAAGUUGGAGUGAGCCGAGAUCGCCCCACCGCACUCCAGCCUGGGCGACAAGAGCAAAACUCUGUCUCAAAAAAAAAAAAAAAAAAAAAAAAAAAGGAAGUAGUGACACGAAACACUGUCUCCACACUCCACCCUUAUAACCUCCAGCUGGCACCCUGAAUGGUCUGGCCUCUCCCUGGGGGCGGAUAGGGCAGGAGACACUAAAGUAUUAAUUAUCUUUUUUGAUCAUGGCUGUAACUGUUCUGCGCCAUCUUCAACAGGUGAGACUAAGGAGGGAAUCACAGCUAGUCAUCUCAGCCAGGCCAGUAGGGGGCGCAGUGCAGUGAUCAUUCCCUGGGGCCAAGGCUGUCUCCUUGCAGGUUCAUCUCAGCUCUGCAGCAAUGCCUACUUCUUUCCAUCCGCUCCGAGGCUGUUACUAAGUAUGUGGAGCUCCUUUUCAACAACUCGCUUACUACAAAGUCCUGCUCAUUAAAAGGCGAAGGUGGUAGUGGUAGAGGACUAGAUGGGCUAAGUAUUUGCUCAACUGCUCUAUCUUGCUUUGUAACUACCAAACCAUUUCUGGGUGAGAUCAUGGGGACACCAGAUUCUUCACAUCCUUUCCUCAUUUGCUCAAGACGAGAUAAUCACAAACAGAACUUUAAGAAACCACCUGUAUAAACAUACUUGGCGUAUCUUCUGGGAAUGGAAUUAUUGAAUAGUAACCGAUUGUCAGCCUGAACAGGGUGACUUGUUGCCCUCCAGUGGUAAAUUCAAUCAGUGUUUGUACCGUCAACGUCCCCGCUCAAUCACCGUUAAACACUUAGGCAACCAAGUGUCAGCCACAAAGUUAAAAAACAGUCCUUGUUUUCAUGGAGCUUGCCAAAUAAAUAUAAGCAAAUGGUAUAAAAUCCCUUCCCUAGGGAGCAUGCUAGACACACCCGCAGGUACAGACACAGAUGGGGCAUGAUGACUUCUCCACGUGUAUGCAGUGGAGUUCUUUUAGGGAGAUUUCAGAGUGGAUGAUGUACUUUUAUACUACAACAUUUAGAAUAAUCUCUCUAAGUACAAUUCCAGAAUAUUAAAAGUAUUAUAAAAUUUGGGAAUAGACAACAGAGUCAAGUACACAAAAAGCCUAUUAUAUAUUUAAGGACUAUGUUUAGAAAAAAGGGUCCUUUUACUGGAAAGAUAGGAAAAUAGGUUUUUCUUCUUAACUUUGAUGUAUCCAGAAAAUCUGGGAGGGAGGCUCAAGGGUGGUGAGUCACUGUGAGACGUAAUGUUUAAUUUAAUCCAGCUAUUGAGUGAUAAAAUUUUUCAACUUCCUCCCUUUUCUCAAGACCUUAAAAAAAAAAAAAAACAACAGAACAUCUUCUCUGCCAACAUUUUUUUUCUUUUGAGAUGGAGUCUCGCUCUGUCGCCCAGCCUGGAGUGCAGUGGUGCGAUCUUAGCUCACUGUAACCUCCGCCUCCCGGGUUCAAUCGAUUCUCCUGCCUCAGCCUCCCCAGUAGCUGGGAUUACAGGCACAUGCCACCAUGCUUGGCUAAUUUUUGUAUUUUUAGUAGAGACGGGGUUUCACCAUGUUGGCCAGGCUGGAACUGCCAACAUUUUCUUCAUCCUAAUCAUUAAUCACUUCUUCACCCACAAAAUGUCCUUUGCUAGAACAUGAGUUCCAAGUGGAGACAGAUCACAGAAAGGGGAGGAAAACUCAGAAAUCCUUUGUUAUGAGAACUAUCGAAUUCUCCUCUUGCCUUUGUUCCCCUCAGGUAAAGAAAAAGAUUGCUAUUUUUCCAUCAAUAUCAUACCACAAAUAUCCACCUAUAUUUAUGUUGCCCUCAAGAGUUGUAAUUCUAUUAUCAUCCUACUCAAGAAAAAAGGUAGUGAGAAACAACUGGAAGUUACUGGUAUUUUGUUAUUACUAAGUACCAGGGCAUUUCUUGGGCAUUAGGGAUGAUUUAUUUAUUAUUUGUGUCCUUGUCCACUGUAAAAAAGGGAAGCUUAAAAACACAAGUGUGUGUUCAGGUUCCCAGCCUGAAUACAAAUUGUAUUCAAUUUCCGAGUGAAAUGUGUCCAGACAGCAGGAGAGAUCUACUUAUCUGUGAGACUGAAGAGCCUCCUUGGAACGAACUAAUCCUGAAAGAAGAACUACUUGUGAAGGGCAAACAGUUUAGUUCAAGAAAGCAAGGCUAUGCAAUACCACAGCAAACUUCAUUCAAUGAAGACUGAGCUCCAGCCAUGUCUUAAGAGCGGGAAGAAAAAGCAGCAAACAGGCUCUAUCUCCACAGGCUCUGGGGACAGUGACGGCUGCAGUGGCUCCUUCAGGAUGCUCAACCCUGGGCUCUGGAACACCAAGCACAGGCCUCAGCUCUUCCAUGAUGAAUACCUUUUAAAGGCAUCAGCUGCAGCAUCUCUGUUGCAUACAAAUUCACUAAGUACAAAAAAACUCCUAGACUUUUGGGCCCAUUGCUUAUUACAUAAAAUUGUUUCCAGCAGUAGGGUUUAAGACAAAACACAAGUGAAAUAAAAUGUACAAGUUUGUUCCAUAGAAACACUGAAAACACGGUUAUGUCCUUCUACAAUUCAGUAAAACAAACACUGCCACAAACACCCUCAGGUUCACAGUUUAGAUUUCAUUCAUUCAAUAAUUAUUUUCUAAGUACUUUCAUUACUGGGGAUGCAGUAAUGAAUAAUAAGGUCCCUGUUUUCUUGGAGCCUCUGUUCCAGCAGUGGGGCAGGGGAGACAGACAGCAAACAAAAUAAAUCAAUAUACCACGUUAGUAGUCACAUGGUUACUGGGUAGGGAAAGGAAAGCUUCUGCACACCUAAACCCCUUAAGAGCAAUUUGAGGCUGCUGCAAAUAUCACGGCCUCUUUUAGGGGAAGAUAAAAACUCUAAGUUUUAUAUAUAUAUAUAUAAAUAGAGAUGGGGUCUGGCCAUGUUACCCAGGUUGGUUGAUCUUGAACUCCUGGCCUGAAGUGAUCCUCCUGUCUUGGCCUCCCAAAAGUGCUGAGAUUAUAGGCAUGAGCCACUGUGCCUAGCCCUAACUUAUAUUUUUAAAAGUAACUUUUUUAUAAGUUGCAAAUUUCUAGUCAGACUCUUAAAAGUUCACAAUUCUAGGGAGCUGUUCUAAUUUUUAGUUACAAGGUAUAUGAAUAAGUACUUUAAGUCCAUACUAAAGGAAUAAGACCUACAUCAGGUGGGUACAUGUGCAGGUACAUAUAUGAAUAUAUGUUUACAGGCUCAUGUCAGAAGUGACACAGGUACAUAUUAUAUAUAAUGUUAAUCUGUAUUAUAUAUUAAUAUAAAAUUAUUUCUGGCUCUAAUGAUACAAAUCUUUCAUAUAAAUUCUUAGAUUAUAUCUGGUCUCUCUAAGAACUAUCAAUAUGCUAAUUUUCAGGCGGUUAAUUGGUACCCCCAAGUGCAUGGUAUUUCUAAGUAAACUUCUGUUCAGAAAAAAUACUUGUCACUUACAGCUAAGCAUAUACUGAUAAAGCAACAUGUAGAACAUAAUGCAGAGUGGAAUGCAACUGCCUUUUCAUGUCUAGAAGACAAGGUAAAAACGAGGUGUUUUUUUGUUGUUGUUUUCUGCUGCUGGUGCUCAGCGCUUGUUCACUGAAAACCACAGAUGGUCUUAAAGCGUGAAGCCUUGUGCUCCAACUUCCUAGAGACCUAACAAUUUCACUGGUGUCUUUUAAUGUUAAUGUCCGUAUUUUCCCUUCUCCACAUCCUACAAGGGCAUUGCUCCUUUUUAGGCUAUCCAGUCUGAAGUACGUUUUCCCAGUGGUGAACACAGGGCCAGAAGUCCUGGACAGCAUGAUUGAGUUGUGGUAGUCUGAAAAGCAAUGGUGGCAGGCAGUCAUGAUAUGCUCCCAUCGCCUCUUCAAAGACGCAAACGUCCAAAGUGACAAGGCUUUUCCAAAGGUCAGGCCGGCCGUGCACGGUGGCUCACACCUGUAAUCCCAGAACUUUGGGAGGCCGAAGCGGGUGGAGCAUGAGGUCAGGAGUCCAAGACCAGCCUGACCAACAUGGUGAAACCCCAUCUCUACUAAAAAUACAAAUACAAAAAUUAGUGGGGUGUGGUGGUGGGCACCUGUUAUCCCAGCUACUCUGGAGGCUGCGGCAGAGAAUUGCUUGAACCCGGGAGGCGAGGUUGCAGUGAGCCGAGAUCAAGCCACUGCACUCCAGCCUGGGCAACAGAAUGAGACUGUCUCAAAAAAAAAAAAAAACAGCCUCUGGUCAGAAAGAUGAAAAUGUGUCACCAUGGGGUUCUCCGGCAGAGAGUGGGUUCUCAGAUGAGAUUCCUGGGUCUCCUCAAUGACCCACCAUGCUCUGCUUGAAGCACUCCAGAAGCCAGGCGGCAGGUCUGGGGACAUGCACGGUGUGGCCUGCAGACACGUGUAUGUGCCAGGCAGGAUGUGCCGAGCAUCACAGCCCUCCCGAGGGCAGCUGCCUUCAACCUUUUCUUCCACCAGGAUCAUCUGUUUUUUCAGCAGAAAUGACUACUUAAACCAGACUGGCCUUAGAAAUGGCCGCUCCCCAGCACGUUCUAACUUUGUCUCUUUUCUUUCACUGGUCCCUGUCGGAACGGUGCUGUGAGAACACUGCCCUAGAGGCCACCAGAAUUCCCAGACUUCCUGCCUAUUAAGGAUAUCCAUGGGUAAUCCCCAGUAGCAAGUAAUUUAAAACUAAGUUGUAGGUGCCUUUGGAAAGCAUUAUGUAAUUUCUUAAAUUGGGUUUUUCUUCCUAGUUACAUUUUUCCCCCUCAGUUCAAUGAUUUGUAUUUUAACGCCAAGCAGGCUGAGCAGAAGGGGUAUCUGAAUACUGCUAGACGAGAAGCCAGCCUGGCAUUCAAAGUGACAGAGACCACCCAUAACAAGAGUGGGUUGAUCACUGAGAGCUGAUUAGGUGCUCAGGCUUCCAGUGGAACAUUCUUCUUCCUCUUGCACCAAAGCCAGCGACCUUUUUCCUAGGGAAGCAUUCUUCUUCUAUGUCAGUCUCCUAUCAUUGCCAUUUUCUGGUCCCAAGACUUCUUGCAUACACUAUCUUCUGGCAUGGCAUGUAUACUAAAACUUGUACACACUCUCAGAUCUUAAAAUACAACAAUUAUUUCUCUAAUUAGAUAGUUACCUAUUUUCUAUGACUUCAGUGAUUGCAAAUUCCAGCAGAAGCUACUGUUCUAAUAAGUUUUGAAUCAGAGGUCUUAAUGCAUAGUAAAAGAUUGCCUGGCUUUAAUCCUAAACCAUGUAAGGGUAGAUACUGUGAUGUGGAAGCCAAUGUUCUCGGGAUGAAUGAACAGAAGUCCCUCAACAUUUUUAGGGAUCAUCUUUCUGGCAUUUGCAGCUGUUUUCUAGGGUAAGCUACUUUCCAGAAAACCAAGUGAUAACGUGUUCAGACUUUCCUAAAUAAAUUUCCUAAGGGCCUACCCUCAGUGUUAAAAGAAAAGACCAAAUGUUUGAAAUAUCUCCCGAGGAAGAAUGAAACAGAAUGUUAGGAAUGGCGAACAGACAGGUGUGGCACAUGCAGUAGCCAGCAGCAUCAGUGAUGGACAGGAACACAGACGUCAUCCUUAGCCACGGUGCGCAGCUAGCACGGCUGCACUUAGGCUCACAGGAGGAAGACGGGUGGCCACUGUUUUGGUCUGACUCAUCUCAUCCAAUGCAAGUCCGGUGACAGGCUUUUUCAUGAUUUUACACAUGGAAAAGAAUGUAGGAAACGUUUGUCUCAACUCUUUUAAUUUCUUUUUUUAAAGAGUCUCACGCUGUCACCAGGCUGGAGUGCAGUGGCGUGAUCUCGGCUCACUGCAACCUCCACCUCCUGUUUUCAAGCGAUUCUCCUGCCUCAGCCUCCUGAGUAGCUAAGACAACAGGCGCGCGCCACCACACCCGGCUAAUUUUUGUAUUUUUAGUAGAGAUGGGGUUUCACCACGUUGGCCAGGCUGGUCUCGAUCUCUUGACCUCAUGAUCUGCCUGCCUCAGCCUCCCAAAGUGCUGGGAUUACAGGUGUGAGCCACCGUGCCCGGGCCUGUAAUUUCAUUUUUAAAUAGUUAAGAGCUUGCCCGUAUUUUUAGGACCUAUGAUCUGAAGAUGUUUUUUCUUUCCCUAAACAGGGAAACGUCCUCUCUGUAGUUACUGAGAGGAAGGUGAGGACCUCAGGCUCCCAGUGUAACUCCUGCUGAAAAACCUUAUACUUGACACAGUUCAUUUCUGGUCAUACAAAGUCCUGCUGUAGUUCUUCACUUGUUUUACUUUCGCUUUCAUCUUCAUUAGAAUAAUUUCCUGAAUCUUGGCUAGUUUGGGAACUGUAUUUUUUAUGAUCUUCAUCAGUUUGAUUAGUUUCUUCUACUGUAGCAAUUGUGCUUAUAUUUUCAAUUAUGAAACAUUUUUCGAUUUGUUCCUCAGAAGUUGAAAGCAGAAGAUUCUUCAAUGGCUGUUCAGAG
This 6988-nucleotide long non-coding RNA is filed under the name Homo sapiens (human). RNAcentral's name for it is "HSALNT0403867". Lineage: Eukaryota; Metazoa; Chordata; Mammalia; Primates; Hominidae. The record is from RNAcentral.